Molecule: long non-coding RNA, 542 nt
Organism: Tupaia belangeri chinensis (Chinese tree shrew)
Lineage: Eukaryota; Metazoa; Chordata; Mammalia; Scandentia; Tupaiidae
Exons: 4
Source: RefSeq, a predicted model, not a curated record
GGCCUGUGCCUUCCUCGCCGUGGGCCAGCUCCAAGCCCCCACCCCGGCCCUCAGCGGCCCGGCGCGAGGCUGCCCACCGGAAACACGAGGCUGGGUUCCAAGCUAUUGUCCUGCUCGCCUGUGGUCGCGCGCUCCCUGUGGCUGCCCUCCCGACCGUAGUCGUGGCCUCCACGCCUAGUAACCUGAGCCUUCAGGACACAGGAGUCGACCACACGUGCCCCAGGGCAAAAACCUGAAAAAGAAUCAGCCUGAGCAUUAGAUCUAGAACAAGCAGUUCCAGGUGAUGUCAGGCUCUCUGGAAGUGGACAACUGAACUGGAAAAGUUGAAAUACGAUAAUUGGAACAGAAAAGAUGAAGUAUUUUCCUGGUAUUUUACAUGAAGUUUUAUGGGAAAUGAUACCAAAACACCUCCAGUAUCUAAACCUGCUUGCUAGAUUCGAGAAAUCCCCUAUAAUCCUGGUCUUGGUGGAAAGUAGUAUGCUCCUACCUCUGACUUCGAAGUCCUAAAGAAAUGUCUCAUGAAAACAAGCAUGAAGCAUAUU